Molecule: ribosomal RNA, 440 nt
Filed under: uncultured bacterium
Lineage: Bacteria
Description: partial 16S ribosomal RNA
Rfam family: Bacterial small subunit ribosomal RNA
Source: RNAcentral
CCUACGGGUGGCAGCAGUUGGGGAUAUUGCACAAUGGGGGAAACCCUGAUGCAGCGACGCCGCGUGUGGGAAGACGGUCCUCUGGAUUGUACACCACUGUCCCCCGGGACGAAGAUGACGGUACCUGGGGAGGCAUCUCCGGCUAACUACGUUACAGCAGCCGCGGUAAUACGGAUGGGGCGAGCGUUGUCCGGAAUGACUGGGUGAAAAGGGAGCGUAGGCGGGGAUGCAAGUUGGGUGUCAAAACUACCGGCUCAACUGGUAGUCGCACUCAAAACUGCAGCUCUUGAGUGAAGUAUAGGCAGGCGGAAUGCCUAGUGUAGCGGUGAAAUGCGUAGAUAUUAGGAGGAACACCAGUGGCGAAGGCGGCCUGCUGGGCUUUUACUGACGCUGAGGCUCGAAAGUGUGGGGAGCAAACAGGAUUAGAUACCCCAGUAGUC